CGUUAUCCCCGAAUCAUUUUGAUUGUUUCCAUUUCUCUGGCCUGACGGCGAGGGACACACCCAUCUCGGUGCGUGGUGUCUCAGGGUCCAGUGCCCCCACUCUGUGUGGGGAAGCCACGCAGCCCCCACCUAACCCCUGCCAAUGCCGAACCACCUCUGGUGGUGGCAGGGGCAAGCACCUACGAGCUGGGGGGGUCAGAGCGCUUCAUCGCCACGGAUAUCGGCGGUCGGGUCCUGGACGGCGGUGCGUCAGAGCGGGCUGCGACAGCGCACGCGUCCGUGCCACCCAUGUGAUGGACAGCGUGUCAGCGUGACUCGAGCUAUCCCACGCCGGGCCGUCGCACUGCCUGCUGCUGGGGAGCCUGCGCCAUCGCGAGGGAUGCACCAGGGGUGGCAACCGGCACGAUGGGAGCGACUGUGAGGCGACCUGGGAGGCGGGUGGGCGGGGUAUGAGGCAGCGGCCGUGCUCGCAGAUGACUGAGCCGGCGCACUGCCGUAGCGCGUGUGUACCGCUACUUCGCACCACGCGGGAUGGGCCUGUGGCAUGCUGGCAGAGCCGAGUUUAGCGUAUGUUAUACAUGAAAACGAAUGGAUAUAAAAGGGAUGGGCAAGAAUGUUGGCAGCAGCGGUGGAGGCAUCCUUACAGGAUACAUGAAAGAACAGAGAAGGUGUAUACAGCUGAGAUGCGGGGAAGGUUACUCGCGCAACAGAUUGUUUCUGGCUGGUCUCUCAUCUUGUGUCGUUACGCCGUGUUUGGUCUCAUCACAGUGCCUCUUCGCCCUUCUCUUCUCCUCCCCCUCUUUUUCGAGGCGAUAUUACCUCUGUUUUGCGCACCUGUCGGUGGGUGGGAAG
Molecule: unclassified non-coding RNA, 852 nt
Filed under: Leishmania donovani
Lineage: Eukaryota; Euglenozoa; Kinetoplastea; Trypanosomatida; Trypanosomatidae
Description: gene:unknown
Source: RNAcentral